RNAcentral lists this ribosomal RNA (570 nucleotides) under uncultured bacterium. Its description in RNAcentral is "bacterial SSU rRNA". It matches the Rfam family "Bacterial small subunit ribosomal RNA", at positions 60 to 619 of the family's 1533-position model. The record is from RNAcentral.
AGUCGAGCGGUAGCACAGGAGAGCUUGCUCUCUGGGUGACGAGCGGCGGACGGGUGAGUAAUGUCUGGGAAACUGCCUGAUGGAGGGGGAUAACUACUGGAAACGGUAGCUAAUACCGCAUAACGUCUACGGACCAAAGUGGGGGACCUUCGGGCCUCACGCCAUCAGAUGUGCCCAGAUGGGAUUAGCUAGUAGGUGGGGUAAUGGCUCACCUAGGCGACGAUCCCUAGCUGGUCUGAGAGGAUGACCAGCCACACUGGAACUGAGACACGGUCCAGACUCCUACGGGAGGCAGCAGUGGGGAAUAUUGCACAAUGGGCGCAAGCCUGAUGCAGCCAUGCCGCGUGUGUGAAGAAGGCCUUAGGGUUGUAAAGCACUUUCAGCGAGGAGGAAGGGUUCAGUGUUAAUAGCACUGUGCAUUGACGUUACUCGCAGAAGAAGCACCGGCUAACUCCGUGCCAGCAGCCGCGGUAAUACGGAGGGUGCAAGCGUUAAUCGGAAUUACUGGGCGUAAAGCGCACGCAGGCGGUUUGUUAAGUCAGAUGUGAAAUCCCCGCGCUUAACGUGGGA